AAACCGUGUCGUUAUCUGCAGUUGACAUCAUUCUGCAAGAGCGUGGAAAGGCAACAUUGAAGAAUGACGAACCUGAAGGCGGUACUCCUGUUGGGAAUUGUUUUGUUCGCGUUUUCAGCGACUGCUUCCCCGCAGUUCCCUGGACGUGGAGGGCAGUUUUGUGGUCGCCGAUUCUGUCCUCCUGGUUCUUAUUGCAAGGUGGAGCAUGUGCAGUGCUUUGUCCCUCCUUGUCCUCCCAUCAGAAAUUGUGUGCCCUACUAUGGGUGAAAGAAUCGCAAGUUCGCGUUCGAAAUAGUCUCGAGUAGUUUCCAGCCACAAAUGGCUUUAUUCAUCAUGUAACGUGACAAACAAGUUUAUAAGGCAAUGAGACGAUAUGAUGAUAUGUUGUCUUGCGCAUUAAAAUGCAAUUAAAUAGAUGAUUUGAAGGCA
Ornithodoros turicata is the source of this 429-nucleotide long non-coding RNA. RefSeq lists it as uncharacterized. The transcript is spliced from 4 exons. NCBI's taxonomy places the organism in Eukaryota, Metazoa, Arthropoda, Arachnida, Ixodida, Argasidae. The record is from RefSeq and is a predicted model, not a curated record.